Molecule: long non-coding RNA, 398 nt
Organism: Canis lupus familiaris (dog)
Lineage: Eukaryota; Metazoa; Chordata; Mammalia; Carnivora; Canidae
Exons: 3
Source: RefSeq, a predicted model, not a curated record
CCGGGCUGUAGUCACCGGCUGUGGGUGAUGCACAGAACCGCCCUGCGACUCGCGAUACCGACUGCACCACUGCCUGCGCACCCCGCGGCCCGCGCACCGCAGCCCCUCCCUGCCGCUCAGAGGUACAUGUCAUCUGAAGCCUUGGGCCCUCCGCAUCAUAAAUCAGGAACAAAUCCAGGAGGGAGAAAGAGCAAAGGAGACAAGGACCUCGUUAAGAACACUAAGUUUCUGUGGAGAAAAAAGUGUUGGCUUGAACUCCUCGUGCUUUCUUAUGUAAUAAAAAAGUCAAGCAAAGGGCAUGUCUUGGUUCGGCUGGGACUCGGCAGACUGCCUGCGUUAUUACAGUGCUGGGAGUCUGAGGCUCUCUGCUCCUUGAGGAUUAUCAUGUGACUCCUCCC